Molecule: non-coding RNA, 143 nt
Organism: Danionella cerebrum
Lineage: Eukaryota; Metazoa; Chordata; Actinopteri; Cypriniformes; Danionidae
Source: the annotation of a GenBank genome assembly
GGGGGUAUAGCUCAGUGGUAGAGCAUUUGACUGCAGAUCAAGAGGUCCCCAGUUCAAAUCUGGGUGCCCCCUUUGGAAUAGCUCAGUGGUAGAGCAUAUGAUUGCAGUUCAAGAGGUCCCCAGUUCGAAUCUGGGUGCCCCCU